GAUGAACGCUGGCGACGUGCCUAAUACAUGCAAGUCGAGCGAACAGACGAGGAGCUUGCUCCUCUGACGUUAGCGGCGGACGGGUGAGUAACACGUGGAUAACCUACCUAUAAGACUGGGAUAACUUCGGGAAACCGGAGCUAGUACCGGAUAAUAUAUUGAACCGCAUGGUUCAAUAGUGAAAGACGGUUUUGCUGUCACUUAUAGAUGGAUCCGCGCCGCAUUAGCUAGUUGGUAAGGUAACGGCUUACCAAGGCAACGAUGCGUAGCCGACCUGAGAGGGUGAUCGGCCACACUGGAACUGAGACACGGUCCAGACUCCUACGGGAGGCAGCAGUAGGGAAUCUUCCGCAAUGGGCGAAAGCCUGACGGAGCAACGCCGCGUGAGUGAUGAAGGUCUUCGGAUCGUAAAACUCUGUUAUUAGGGAAGAACAAAUGUGUAAGUAACUAUGCACGUCUUGACGGUACCUAAUCAGAAAGCCACGGCUAACUACGUG
RNAcentral lists this ribosomal RNA (497 nucleotides) under uncultured bacterium. RNAcentral's name for it is "partial 16S ribosomal RNA". It matches the Rfam family "Bacterial small subunit ribosomal RNA", at positions 28 to 507 of the family's 1533-position model. The record is from RNAcentral.